UAUCCCUCGGUCCAACCCACUUUCAGCCUGGUGCAUUAGGGGGCGCUAGUAUAAAUAGUGGCCAUUUGAGUGUCCCUGGAUCGCUUACCUGUGAUCUCCUUUUUGGUCACCUGACUUCCCUUUGGUGUUGCCGAGAUCAUUUGCGGGUUACUCUUCUGAAGCCUCCAUCGCGGCUGGUCGUAGCUGUAGAAGCCUCCUCUGAGCCAUUCUGCUCACGUUCUAUGACACGGCUUACUUGGAAGUGUGGGCCUGAGUUUUGCGCCAAGCUACGUGAACUGAAGUGCUGCUGUUUUGCUUUGCUUUGCUUUGCUGUGCUUUUACCGUCUGUUCCCGUUGCGAGAUUUCUUUUCCUGCUGCUGCCAGCUUUUA
Oreochromis niloticus (Nile tilapia) is the source of this 369-nucleotide long non-coding RNA. RefSeq lists it as uncharacterized. The transcript has 3 exons. NCBI's taxonomy places the organism in Eukaryota, Metazoa, Chordata, Actinopteri, Cichliformes, Cichlidae. The record is from RefSeq and is a predicted model, not a curated record.